Molecule: ribosomal RNA, 465 nt
Filed under: uncultured bacterium
Lineage: Bacteria
Description: partial 16S ribosomal RNA
Rfam family: Bacterial small subunit ribosomal RNA
Source: RNAcentral
CCUACGGGGGGCAGCAGUAGGGAAUCUUCCACAAUGGGCGAAAGACUGAUGGAGCAACGCCGCGUGGGUGAAGAAGGUCUUCGGAUCGUAAAACCCUGUUGUUAGAGAAGAAAGUGCGUGAGAGUAACUGUUCACGUUUCGACGGUAUCUAACCAGAUAGCCAAGGCUAACUACGUGACAGCAGCCGCGGUAAUACGUAGGUGGCAAGCUUUAUCCGGAUUUAUUGGGCGUAAAGGGGACGCAGGCGGUCUUUUAAGUCUGAUGUGAAAGCCCUCGGCUUAACCGGAGUAGUGCAUUGGAAACUGGUAGACUUGAGUGCAGAAGAGGAGAGUGGAACUCCAUGUGUAGCGGUGAAAUGCGUAGAUAUAGGGAAGAACACCAGUGGCGAAAGCGGCUCUCUGGUCUGUAACUGACGCUGAGGUUCGAAAGCGUGGGUAGCAAACAGGAUUAGAUACCCCUGUAGUC